This 440-nucleotide ribosomal RNA is filed under the name uncultured bacterium. RNAcentral describes it as "partial 16S ribosomal RNA". It matches the Rfam family "Bacterial small subunit ribosomal RNA", at positions 338 to 795 of the family's 1533-position model. The record is from RNAcentral.
CCUACGGGAGGCAGCAGUGGGGAAUAUUGCACAAUGGGGGAAACCCUGAUGCAGCGACGCCGCGUGAGCGAUGAAGUAUUUCGGUAUGUAAAGCUCUAUCAGCAGGGAAGAAAAUGACGGUACCUGACUAAGAAGCCCCGGCUAACUACGUGCCAGCAGCCGCGGCAAUACGUAGGGGGCAAGCGUUAUCCGGAUUUACUGGGUGUAAAGGGAGCGUAGACGGUCCUGCAAGCCAGAUGUGAAAGCCCGGGGCUCAACCCCGGGACUGCAUUUGGAACUGUAAGGCUAGAGUGUCAGAGAGGCAGGCGGAAUUCGUAGUGUAGCGGUGAAAUGCGUAGAUAUUAGGAGGAACACCAGUGGCGAAGGCGGCCUGCUGGACGAUGACUGACGUUGAGGCUCGAAAGCGUGGGGAGCGAACAGGAUUAGAUACCCUAGUAGUC